RNAcentral lists this long non-coding RNA (287 nucleotides) under Gossypium raimondii (Peruvian cotton). RNAcentral's name for it is "long non-coding RNA (GRAI_LNC010418)". Lineage: Eukaryota; Viridiplantae; Streptophyta; Magnoliopsida; Malvales; Malvaceae. The record is from RNAcentral.
GAAACUAUUGUUCUUCUUGCAUGUGGGGUUCCUACAUAGAAAACUCGAAAUAGAAAAACAUAACAAAUAAAAUCUACUAUUAAUCCUACUCCUAGAAAAAUAAAAAUUAUUGUAAAAUUUAAUACAGUCUCAAAAAAGAAAAAAAUAAAAAUUUAGAUUAACCAUCAUCUAAAUCAUCAAAAUGAGGUGAGUGCUCCCUUCCUAUUGAUAUUUUCCCCUACCCCAAGAUGUAUCCUUGAUGAAAGCUACCACCUGUCAGAGGUGCAUGUUGGGUUGGCUUACGUAUG